RNAcentral lists this ribosomal RNA (234 nucleotides) under Rhodococcus sp. (in: high G+C Gram-positive bacteria). RNAcentral's name for it is "partial 16S ribosomal RNA". The record is from RNAcentral. Lineage: Bacteria; Bacillati; Actinomycetota; Actinomycetes; Mycobacteriales; Nocardiaceae.
CCAGCAGCUCAACUGYUGGCUUGCAGGCGAUACKGGCAGACUUGAGUACUGYWGGGGAGACUGGAAUUCCUGGUGUAGCGGUGAAAUGCGCAGAUAUCASGAGGAACACCGGUGGCGAAGGCGGGUCUCUGGGCAGUAACUGACGCUGAGGAACGAAAGCGUGGGUAGCGAACAGGAUUAGAUACCCUGGUAGUCCACGCCGUAAACGGUGGGCGCUAGGUGUGGGUUCCUUCC